GAUGAACGCUGGCGGCGUGCUUAACACAUGCAAGUAGAACGCACAGUUCAUACCGUACCUUGCUACACCAUUAACUGUGAGUUGCGUAAGGGUGAGUAACGCGUCGGUCACCUGCCUGGUAGUGGGGGAUAACUAUUGGAAACGAUCGCUAAUACCGUAUAAUAUUGGUUCUUGCAUGAUAAUUGUUUGCGUGAUGUUAUUGCAUCACUACUAGAUGGACCUGCGUUGUAUUAGCUAGUAGGUGCGGUAACGGCUAACCUAGGCGACGAUGCAUAGCCGACCUGAGGAGGUGAACCGCCACUCGGAGACUGAGACACGGCCCAGACUCCUACGGGAGGCAGCGGUAUGGAAUCGUCGGCGAUGGACGGAAGACUGACCGAGCAACGCCGGGUGAGUGAAGAAAGGUUGCGGAUCGUAUAACUCUGUUGUAAGAGAAGAACGGGUGUGAUAGUGGAAAAGUCACUCUGUGACGGUAUCUUACCAGAAAGGGACGGCUAACUACGUG
This 505-nucleotide ribosomal RNA is filed under the name uncultured bacterium. RNAcentral describes it as "partial 16S ribosomal RNA". It matches the Rfam family "Bacterial small subunit ribosomal RNA", at positions 28 to 507 of the family's 1533-position model. The record is from RNAcentral.